AGCGAACGCUGGCGGCAGGCCUAACACAUGCAAGUCGAACGAACCUUUCGGGGUUAGUGGCGGACGGGUGAGUAACACGUGGGAACGUGCCUUUAGGUUCGGAAUAACUCAGGGAAACUUGUGCUAAUACCGAAUGUGCCCUUCGGGGGAAAGAUUAAUCGCCUUUAGAGCGGCCCGCGUCUGAUUAGCUAGUUGGUUGAGGUAAUGGCUCACCAAGGCGACGCUCAGUAGCUGGUCUGAGAGGAUGAUCAUCCACAUUGGGACUGAGACACGGCCCAAACUGCUACGGGAGGCAGCAGUGGGGAAUCUUGCGCAAUGGGCGAAAGCCUGACGCAGCCAGGCCGCGUGAAUGAUGAAGGUCUUAGGAUUGUAAAAUUCUUUCACCGGGGACGAUAAUGACGGUACCCGGAGAAGAAGCCCCGGCUAACUUCGUG
This 434-nucleotide ribosomal RNA is filed under the name uncultured bacterium. RNAcentral's name for it is "partial 16S ribosomal RNA". It matches the Rfam family "Bacterial small subunit ribosomal RNA", at positions 29 to 507 of the family's 1533-position model. The record is from RNAcentral.